GACGAACGCUGGCGGCGUUCUUAACACAUGCAAGUCGAACGGAAAGGCCCUGCUUUUGUGGGGUGCUCGAGUGGCGAACGGGUGAGUAACACGUGAGUAACCUGCCCUUGACUUUGGGAUAACUUCAGGAAACUGGGGCUAAUACCGGAUAGGAGCUCCUGCUGCAUGGUGGGGGUUGGAAAGUUUCGGCGGUUGGGGAUGGACUCGCGGCUUAUCAGCUUGUUGGUGGGGUAGUGGCUUACCAAGGCUUUGACGGGUAGCCGGCCUGAGAGGGUGACCGGCCACAUUGGGACUGAGAUACGGCCCAGACUCCUACGGGAGGCAGCAGUGGGGAAUAUUGCACAAUGGGCGGAAGCCUGAUGCAGCAACGCCGCGUGCGGGAUGACGGCCUUCGGGUUGUAAACCGCUUUCGCCUGUGACGAAGCGUGAGUGACGGUAAUGGGUAAAGAAGCACCGGCUAACUACGUG
This 468-nucleotide ribosomal RNA is filed under the name uncultured bacterium. RNAcentral describes it as "partial 16S ribosomal RNA". It matches the Rfam family "Bacterial small subunit ribosomal RNA", at positions 28 to 507 of the family's 1533-position model. The record is from RNAcentral.